UCGAGAAUUUUUCUCAAUGGGGGAAACCCUGAAGGAGCGACGCCGCGUGGAGGAUGAAGGUCUUCGGAUUGUAAACUCCUGUCAUUUGGGAACAAUUGCUUCACGUUAACUGCGUGGGGCUUGAUAGUACCAGAAGAGGAAGGGACGGCUAACUCUGUGCCAGCAGCCGCGGUAAUACAGAGGUCCCAAGCGUUGUUCGGAUUCAUUGGGCGUAAAGGGUGCGUAGGCGGCGAGGCAAGUCGGAUGUGAAAUCCCGGGGCUCAACCCUGGAACUGCAUUCGAUACUGCCUUGCUAGAGUACUGGAGAGGGAACUGGAAUUUACGGUGUAGCAGUGAAAUGCGUAGAUAUCGUAAGGAAGACCAGUGGCGAAGGCGAGUUCCUGGACAGUUACUGACGCUGAGGCACGAAGGCUAGGGGAGCAAACGGG
Molecule: ribosomal RNA, 428 nt
Filed under: uncultured bacterium
Lineage: Bacteria
Description: bacterial SSU rRNA
Rfam family: Bacterial small subunit ribosomal RNA
Source: RNAcentral